CUCUGCUAUCACUUCUGGAUGGACCCGCGGCGUAUUAGCUAGUUGGUGAGGUAAAGGCUCACCAAGGCAGUGAUACGUAGCCGACCUGAGAGGGUAAUCGGCCACAUUGGGACUGAGACACGGCCCAGACUCCUACGGGAGGCAGCAGUAGGGAAUCUUCCACAAUGGACGCAAGUCUGAUGGAGCAACGCCGCGUGAGUGAAGAAGGGUUUCGGCUCGUAAAGCUCUGUUGUUAAAGAAGAACGUGGGUAAGAGUAACUGUUUACCCAGUGACGGUAUUUAACCAGAAAGCCACGGCUAACUACGUGCCAGCAGCCGCGGUAAUACGUAGGUGGCAAGCGUUAUCCGGAUUUAUUGGGCGUAAAGCGAGCGCAGGCGGUCUUUUAAGUCUAAUGUGAAAGCCUUCGGCUCAACCGAAGAAGUGCAUUGGAAACUGGGAGACUUGAGUGCAGAAGAGGACAGUGGAACUCCAUGUGUAGCGGUGAAAUGCGUAGAUAUAUGGAAGAACACCAGUGGCGAAGGCGGCUGUCUGGUCUGCAACUGACGCUGAGGCUCGAAAGCAUGGGUAGCGAACAGGAUUAGAUACCCUGGUAGUCCAUGCCGUAAACGAUGAUUACUAAGUGUUGGAGGGUUUCCGCCCUUCAGUGCUGCAGCUAACGCAUUAAGUAAUCCGCCUGGGGAGUACGACCGCAAGGUUGAAACUCAAAAGAAUUGACGGGGGCCCGCACAAGCGGUGGAGCAUGUGGUUUAAUUCGAAGCUACGCGAAGAACCUUACCAGGUCUUGACAUCUUCUGACAGUCUAAGAGAUUAGAGGUUCCCUUCGGGGACAAAAUGACAGGUGGUGCAUGGUUGUCGUCAGCUCGUGUCGGGAGAUGUUGGGUUAAGUCCCGCAACGAGCGCCAUCCUUUAUUACUAGUUGCCAGCAUUAAGUUG
Molecule: ribosomal RNA, 934 nt
Filed under: Pediococcus pentosaceus
Lineage: Bacteria; Bacillati; Bacillota; Bacilli; Lactobacillales; Lactobacillaceae
Description: bacterial SSU rRNA
Rfam family: Bacterial small subunit ribosomal RNA
Source: RNAcentral